RNAcentral lists this ribosomal RNA (497 nucleotides) under uncultured bacterium. Its description in RNAcentral is "partial 16S ribosomal RNA". It matches the Rfam family "Bacterial small subunit ribosomal RNA", at positions 28 to 507 of the family's 1533-position model. The record is from RNAcentral.
GACGAACGCUGGCGGCGUGCCUAAUACAUGCAAGUCGAGCGCUGAAGGUUGGUACUUGUACCAACUGGAUGAGCAGCGAACGGGUGAGUAACGCGUGGGGAAUCUGCCUUUGAGCGGGGGACAACAAGGGGAAACGAAUGCUAAUACCGCAUAAAAACUUGAAACACAAGGGUGAAGGUUGAAAGAUGCAAUUGCAGCACGCAAAGAUGAUCCCGCGUUGUAUUGGCUAGGUGGUGAGGUAAAGGCGCACCAAGGCGGUGUUACAUAGCCGCCCUGAGAGGGUGGUUGGCCGCACUGGGACUGUGACCCGGCCCAAUCUCCUUCGGGAGGCGGCCGUAGGGCAUCUUCGGCAAUGGGCGGAAGUCUGACCGAGCUGCGCCGCGUCCGUGUAGAGGGUUUUCGGGUCGUAAAACUCGGUUGGUAGGGAAGAACGUUGGUGAGCGUGGAAAGCUCAUCAAGUGACGGUAACUACCCAGAAAGCGACGGCUAACUACGUG